Molecule: ribosomal RNA, 375 nt
Filed under: uncultured bacterium
Lineage: Bacteria
Description: bacterial SSU rRNA
Rfam family: Bacterial small subunit ribosomal RNA
Source: RNAcentral
GACGAACGCUGGCGGCGUGCUUAACACAUGCAAGUCGAGCGGUAAGGCCCUUUCGGGGGUACACGAGCGGCGAACGGGUGAGUAACACGUGGGUGACCUGCCCUUAGCUCUGGGAUAAGCCUGGGAAACUAGGGUCUAAUACCGGAUAUGACCUCAUGACUCAUGUUGUGGGGUGGAAAGCCUUGUGCGGCUAGGGAUGGGCCCGCGGCCUAUCAGCUUGUUGGUGGGGUAAUUGCCUACCAAGGCGACGACGGGUAGCCGGCCUGAGAGGGCGACCGGCCACACUGGGACUGAGACACGGCCCAGACUCCACGGGAGGCAGCAGUGGGGAAUCCUGCGCAAUGGGCGAAAGCCUGACGCAGCGACGCCGCGUGA